GGGCUCACUUCAGCACAGGUGCUAAAAUUAGAGUGACAUAGAGGUGGUGUGACCUCUGCAUAAGGAUGACAUGCAAAUUCAUGAAGUGUUCAAUAUGUUC
This 100-nucleotide small nuclear RNA is filed under the name Castor canadensis (American beaver). The record is from RNAcentral. Lineage: Eukaryota; Metazoa; Chordata; Mammalia; Rodentia; Castoridae.